RNAcentral lists this ribosomal RNA (253 nucleotides) under uncultured bacterium. Its description in RNAcentral is "partial 16S ribosomal RNA". It matches the Rfam family "Bacterial small subunit ribosomal RNA", at positions 524 to 776 of the family's 1533-position model. The record is from RNAcentral.
UACGAAGGGGGCUAGCGUUGUUCGGAAUUACUGGGCGUAAAGCGCGCGCAGGCGGUCCUUUAAGUCAGGGGUGAAAGCCCAGAGCUCAACUCUGGAACUGCCUUUGAAACUGGAGGACUUGGGUACGGGAGAGGUGAGUGGAAUUCCGAGUGUAGAGGUGAAAUUCGUAGAUAUUCGCAAGAACACCAGUGGCGAAGGCGGCUCACUGGCCCGAUACUGACGCUGAGGCACGAAAGCGUGGGGAGCAAACAGG